GGAUUGGANAUGGGGGCACCCUGAUCCAGCGACGCCGCGUGGAGGAUGAAGGUCUUCGGAUUGUAAACUCCUUUUGGAGGGGAUGAAUGCCCUGGUGAAUAGCCAGGGGUGACAGUACUCUCUGAAUAAGCCACGGCUAACUACGUGCCAGCAGCCGCGGUAAUACGUAGGUGGCAAGCGUUACUCGGAAUCACUAGGCGUAAAGCGCAGGUAGGCGGUUCGGAAAGUCUUUUGUGAAAGCUCCUGGCUCAACUGGGAGAGGUCAAAGGAAACUACCGGGCUAGAGUGUGGUAGGGGAGACUGGAAUUCCCGGUGUAGCGGUGAAAUGCGUAGAUAUCGGGAGGAAUACCUAUGGCGAAAGCAGGUCUCUGGUCCAUCACUGACGCUGAGCUGCGAAAGCUAGGGGAGCAAACAGGAUUAGAUACCCUGGUAGUCCUAGCCCUAAACGAUGCUCAUUAGAUGUGGGAGGUAUCGACCCCUUCCGCGUCGCAGCUAACGCAUUAAAUGAGCCGCCUGGGGAGUACGGCCGCAAGGUUGAAACUCAAAAGAAUUGACGGA
Molecule: ribosomal RNA, 558 nt
Filed under: uncultured bacterium
Lineage: Bacteria
Description: bacterial SSU rRNA
Rfam family: Bacterial small subunit ribosomal RNA
Source: RNAcentral